This 539-nucleotide ribosomal RNA is filed under the name Betta foerschi. RNAcentral describes it as "partial 16S ribosomal RNA". It matches the Rfam family "Bacterial large subunit ribosomal RNA", at positions 1856 to 2597 of the family's 2925-position model. The record is from RNAcentral. Lineage: Eukaryota; Metazoa; Chordata; Actinopteri; Anabantiformes; Osphronemidae.
CGCCUGCCCUGUGACAAAAGUUUAACGGCCGCGGUAUUUUGACCGUGCAAAGGUAGCGCAAUCACUUGUCUUUUAAAUGAAGACCUGUAUGAAUGGCAUCACGAGGGCUUAACUGUCUCCUUUUUCUAGUCAAUGAAAUUGAUCCCCCCGUGCAGAAGCGGGGAUACGACCAUAAGACGAGAAGACCCUAUGAAGCUUUAGACACAAGACAGAUCUUGUUAAACACUUCAACCUAAAGAAAUAAACUAAAAGAACCCUGCCCUAAUGUCUUUGGUUGGGGCGACCACGGGGAAAUAAAAAACCCCCACGCGGACUGAGAGUACCCCUCUUAUAACCAAGGGCCACAGCUCUAAUUAACAGAACCUCUGACCUUAAGAUCCGGCAAUGCCGAUCAACGGACCGAGUUACUCUAGGGAUAACAGCGCAAUCCUCUUUUAGAGUCCCUAUCGACAAGAGGGUUUACGACCUCGAUGUUGGAUCAGGACAUCCUAAUGGUGCAGCAGCUAUUAAGGGUUCGUUUGUUCAACGAUUAAAGUCCU